RNAcentral lists this ribosomal RNA (495 nucleotides) under uncultured fungus. Its description in RNAcentral is "eukaryotic LSU rRNA". The stretch from base 153 to 306 matches the Rfam family "5.8S ribosomal RNA". The record is from RNAcentral. Lineage: Eukaryota; Fungi.
AAGGAUCAUUACAGAAAGUAAACGCGGAUCAAACCGCGAACUUCUAAACCUUUGACGAUUGACUCAUGUUGCCUCGGCGGGUUCUCCCGCCAGAGGAUAAGAUCAAAACUCCUGUUUUAACGGUGUUGUCUGAGCUACAAGCAACGAAUCAAAUCUUUCUACAACGGAUCUCUUGGUUCUGGCAUCGAUGAAGAACGCUGCGAAAUGCGAUAAGUAGUGUGAAUUGCAGAAUUCACUGAGUCAUCUAAUCUUUGAGCGCACAUUGCGCCCCUUGGUAUCCCGAGGGGCAUGCCUGUUCGAGCGUCAUUUCACCACUCAAGCCUGGCUUGGUGUUGGGCGACGUCCCCUUUGGGGACGCGCCUCGAAACGCUCGGCGGCGUGGCACCGGCUUUAAGCGUAACAAAAUCUUUCGCUUUGGAAGUCGGGGCCCCGUCUGCCGGAAGACCUACUCGCAAGGUUGACCUCGGAUCACGCAGGGAUACCCGCUGAACUUAA